UACGGAGGGAGCUAGCGUUGUUCGGAAUCACUGGGCGUAAAGGGCGCGUAGGCGGCCAUUCAAGUCAGAGGUGAAAGCCCAAGGCUCAACCUUGGAACUGCCUUUGAUACUGUUUGGCUUGAGACCGGUAGAGGUAAGUGGAACUGCGAGUGUAGAGGUGAAAUUCGUAGAUAUUCGCAAGAACACCAGUGGCGAAGGCGGCUUACUGGACCGGUUCUGACGCUGAGGCGCGAAAGCGUGGGGAGCAACAGG
This 252-nucleotide ribosomal RNA is filed under the name uncultured bacterium. RNAcentral describes it as "partial 16S ribosomal RNA". It matches the Rfam family "Bacterial small subunit ribosomal RNA", at positions 524 to 775 of the family's 1533-position model. The record is from RNAcentral.